This 326-nucleotide long non-coding RNA is filed under the name Capsicum annuum. RNAcentral's name for it is "long non-coding RNA (CANN_LNC002262)". Lineage: Eukaryota; Viridiplantae; Streptophyta; Magnoliopsida; Solanales; Solanaceae. The record is from RNAcentral.
AGCUCUGUAUCAGAUCAUAGGUUACUGGUACUAUUGGUACUGGAGCUAAUGUUUAGUAUAGUCUCGUGGAUUGGUACAAAUAUGUCUGUAUACUUUCUUUAGGAGGCUACUAAUGUCGCCCAAACUACACCUCCUUAUGAGGAUAAAGCGAUCACUAUUAAAAUAUGGUAACCCAACUAGGUUGGGUUCAAUCCCACUGAAAAUAUGUCAGAGAUCUUGCUUGAAUUUGUUGAAAUCACCAUGAAGUGCAGAAAAGUAAAUGGGGGAUGUGGUGAGAUAGUAAAGAGAAACAAGAAUUAGAUGCUCGAAGUUGUAAUCAAUUUAAG